CCUACGGGAGGCAGCAGUGAGGAAUAUUGGUCAAUGGGCGAGAGCCUGAACCAGCCAAGUCGCGUGAGGGAGUACUGCCCUAUGGGUUGUAAACCUCUUUUGUCGGGGAGCAAAAGCCGGACGUGUCCGGCUGUGAGAGUACCCGAAGAAAAAGCAUCGGCUAACUCCGUGCCAGCAGCCGCGGUAAUACGGAGGAUGCGAGCGUUAUCCGGAUUUAUUGGGUUUAAAGGGUGCGCAGGCGGAUUUUUAAGUCAGCGGUCAAAUCGUGGGGCUCAACCCCGCUCCGCCGUUGAAACUGUGUCCCUUGAGUGCGCGAAGGGUAGGCGGAAUGCGUGGUGUAGCGGUGAAAUGCAUAGAUAUCACGCAGAACUCCGAUCGCGAAGGCAGCCUACCGGCGCGCAACUGACGCUCAUGCACGAAAGCGUGGGUAUCGAACAGGAUUAGAUACCCCGGUAGUC
Molecule: ribosomal RNA, 458 nt
Filed under: uncultured bacterium
Lineage: Bacteria
Description: partial 16S ribosomal RNA
Rfam family: Bacterial small subunit ribosomal RNA
Source: RNAcentral